GGUGUGAUCUCAAGUGUUACACUUCGUCAGCCUGAUUCCUCUGGGGGCACACUAACAUAUGAGGGUCGUUUUGAGAUACUGUCUUUAUCUGGUUCGUUCAUGCCAACUGAAAGUGGAGGAACUAGGAGUCGAUCUGGUGGGAUGAGUGUGUCAUUGGCAAGUCCAGAUGGACGUGUUGUAGGUGGUGGAGUUGCAGGUCUGUUGGUAGCUGCAAGUCCUGUACAGGUUGUAGUAGGCAGUUUUCUGGCAGGGAACCAGCAUGAGCAGAAACCAAAGAAGCAGAAACCUGACUCAAUAUCAACUGUCGUCUCACCAACUGUUGCUGUUCCUAUUUCUACUGCUGAUCCGAAACCAAACCUUUCAUCUCCAACAUUCCGUGGAGAUAAUUGGUCUCCUUUGCCAUCAGACUCGAAAAAUAAGCCAACUGACAUUAAUGUGUCUUUGCCAGCAGGUUAACCUGAUUCACCUUAUCGGUGCAUUAAUCGGUUGGUCACUGACGACAAGGCUAUCAAAUUCCACUCGUAGAAACUCACCUUCAUGUAUUGUCUGUAGAACCUAUUGAAAAUGUCAGUACUGGCACUUUUAUUUUACCCUCUUUGUUUUUGGGUAGAUUUUUAGGUAGCCACUUAGGUAGGCUCUUGCUGCUGUUGUGUCAUGUAGAAUAUUUGAUGUAAUUCACAUUUCACGCCUAGAGUUACCUUGAGAGUUGUGGAUUGUGUCUGAAAAAUGUUCUAACAUUUCUUCUUUUUUGCAUUAUUUUCUACUUUCCUAUUUGUAGGAUCCUUUCUGGGGUUCUAAUUUGAGAGAAUUUUUGUUUUC
RNAcentral lists this unclassified non-coding RNA (819 nucleotides) under Hevea brasiliensis (rubber tree). The record is from RNAcentral. Lineage: Eukaryota; Viridiplantae; Streptophyta; Magnoliopsida; Malpighiales; Euphorbiaceae.